CCCAAUUCUUCGGCUCCCGAGAACCUUCCUCAGACUCUGCUGGGUGUUUUCACCACCAGCCUGCUGCUUUAGGAUGCAGUGCAGUGUGUGGAAUUCGUCUAGACCUGUGCUGUCCAAUGCUGUAGCAAUUUAGCCUUUGGAAGGUGGCAGGUCCAAUCCAGGUGUGUUGUAAGUAUAAAAUACACACCCGAUUUCAACGAAGACCUGGUACCAGAUAAAAUGUCAAAUAUCUCCUUGACAACUUUUAUAGGGAUUACGUGUUGAAAUUCUACAAUUUGGGAUAUACUGGGUUAGACGAAAUAUAUUAUUAGAAUUCAUCUCCCUGGUUUAUGGUUUUUUUUGGUUUGUUUUUUGUUUUGGGGUUUUUUUUUUUUUAGCGUGGCUACUAGAAAAUUUUAAAAUGACAUGCGCGCUCCGUUUUUGUGGCCUGCACUGUAUUUCUGUUGGUCUGUCGGUGCAGACCGAGGGCCGAGCAGCCUUGGGCAGAGGCUGAGGGGAAGGCGGAAGUCCAGUUCCGAACAAUAAACCGAGCUGGGCGGGUUCGGGGCUGACGUGACCCCUCUUGCCGAAAGGAGUUGUCCAAGGUUACAUAAUAAGGCCGCCUGACGAGAGCUCGCGCUUAGAACCCCUCCGCUGUUCUUGUGGAGAAGCAGUACUAACACCUCGGCGGUGUUCAUCAGAAGUAGCAAAAUGAUGUGGCUGGAAGGGCUGCCGAGUCAGUGACAUUGCAGAUGGAUGGCCACAGUCCAUGAUCUCAGCAGGAGCUCUCCACUUAUUCACUAUUAAGGAUGAUGUUAGCUGCAGGUUUUUCAUAGAUGCCUUUAACUGACCAAGGAAGUUCCCUCCCAUUUCUAGUUUGACUUCAAGAGGAAGGGCGUGCUAACUGUUCGCUGCCUAAAAGUAAUAGCAAGACGAUCUGUGUUUCUUUCUCUUCAUGUGCCUUUCUCUUGGCAGACAAAGACCACAAGUGGGCAGAGAGGCAGGCAGAGAGAGAGGAGGAAGCAGGCUCCCUGGCUGAGCAGAGAGCCCGACGCAGGGCUCGAUCCCAGGACCCCGGGAUCAUGACCUGAGCCGAAGGCAGAGGCCCCAACCCACUGAGCCACCCAGG
Mustela lutreola (European mink) is the source of this 1108-nucleotide long non-coding RNA. RefSeq lists it as uncharacterized. Lineage: Eukaryota; Metazoa; Chordata; Mammalia; Carnivora; Mustelidae. The transcript has 6 exons. The record is from RefSeq and is a predicted model, not a curated record.